CAAGCGGUGGAGCGUCUGGUUUAAUUCGACAGUAAGCGUGGUACCUCACCAGGGUUGACAUCCCUUGACAGCCUUGGAAACAAGGUUUCCUUCGGGCAAGGUGACAGGUGCUGCAUGGUCGUCGUCAGUUCGUGCCGUGAGGUGUUCCGUUAAGUCGGGAAACGAACGAAACCCCUAUUGCAUGUUACAAUUUCUCAUGCAAGACUGCCCGGAUAUACUGGGAGGAAGGUGGGGAUGACGUCAGAUCUGCAUGGUCCUUAUACCCUGGGCGACACAGGCGCUACAAUGGCAGAGACAAAGGGUUGCAAAACCGCAAGGUGAAGCUAAUCCCAAAAACUUUGUCUAAGUUCGGAUUGAAGGCUGCAAUUCGCCUUCAUGAAGCUGGAAUCGCUAGUAAUCGUGAAUCAGCCACGUCACGGUGAAUAUGUUCCCGGAUCUUGUACUCACCGCCCGUCACACCAAGAGAGUUGGUAGCUCCCGAAGCGUCCCGUUUUAGCGGGGCAUCACGGAGAGAUCAGCGAUAGGGGUGAAGUCGUAACAAGGUAACCAAGGGCGAA
This 557-nucleotide ribosomal RNA is filed under the name uncultured organism. RNAcentral describes it as "bacterial SSU rRNA". It matches the Rfam family "Bacterial small subunit ribosomal RNA", at positions 926 to 1510 of the family's 1533-position model. The record is from RNAcentral.